Saccostrea echinata is the source of this 510-nucleotide long non-coding RNA. RefSeq lists it as uncharacterized. The transcript has 3 exons. The record is from RefSeq and is a predicted model, not a curated record. Lineage: Eukaryota; Metazoa; Mollusca; Bivalvia; Ostreida; Ostreidae.
AAAAUUACUGUGCAAAGGUUAAACCCAUCAUUCGAAUCACAAACGCAUGACAACUCUAGCCUAGCAAAAACGAUCUGCCCAGGUAUCCCUAAUAUUGUGGACAUUGAACAUGAAGUUGAGAUGGAACAGGAUCUGGAACCCUUAAUAUCUGCUAUCUGGAAACUUGGAAGGAGGGUUAUGGAACUGGGGGUGAUAUGACAGAUGCUCUAAAAUGUCCAUGCCAUUUCAGCAGCUCUUUCAUGCUGUGGAUAUCCUAACUUAUGGAUCAUCAGCUACCAUUAAGAGAGCGGGAACAUCAUGAUCAUAUAAGCAAUGAGACGAGAAAAGUUUUCAACUUUUUCCACAAAGAACAAUCAAUAAACAGGCAGACAAAAUUCCAGGUCUAAAAAUAAAUGGAAUGAAGGUGUACAAUAACAAGUGAACAUAGAAGUUUCUCUUGUAACAAUCAGAAUUAGACUAAAGUUUUCAGUAACGACAAGAAAAGUGUAGUCACUGGAUACACUAUCAUUU